Molecule: transfer RNA, 106 nt
Filed under: Sporisorium scitamineum
Lineage: Eukaryota; Fungi; Basidiomycota; Ustilaginomycetes; Ustilaginales; Ustilaginaceae
Description: transfer RNA-Pseudo(AGG)
Source: RNAcentral
GGGCCAAUCGUAUAGUGGCUUAUUAUGCUGUCUUAGGGCGAUUACCUCCUUGCAAGAGGUUGCGCUAAGUUGACAGAGGUCCCCGGUUCGAUUCCGGGUUGGCCCC